UGGCGGACGGGUGAGUAAUGUCUGGGAAACUGCCCGAUGGAGGGGGAUAACUACUGGAAACGGUAGCUAAUACCGCAUAACGUCGCAAGACCAAAGAGGGGGACCUUAGGGCCUCUUGCCAUCGGAUGUGCCCAGAUGGGAUUAGCUAGUAGGUGGGGUAACGGCUUACCUAGGCGACGAUCCCUAGCUGGUCUGAGAGGAUGGUCAGCCACACUGGGACUGAGACACGGCCCAG
This 235-nucleotide ribosomal RNA is filed under the name uncultured bacterium. Its description in RNAcentral is "partial 16S ribosomal RNA". It matches the Rfam family "Bacterial small subunit ribosomal RNA", at positions 96 to 334 of the family's 1533-position model. The record is from RNAcentral.